UACGAAGGGGGCUAGCGUUGUUCGGAAUCACUGGGCGUAAAGCGUACGUAGGCGGAUGAAUAAGUCAGGGGUGAAAGCCUGGAGCUCAACUCCAGAACUGCCUUUGAUACUGUUUGUCUUGAGUCCGGGAGAGGUGAGUGGAACUGCUAGUGUAGAGGUGAAAUUCGUAGAUAUUAGCAAGAACACCAGUGGCGAAGGCGGCUCACUGGCCCGGUACUGACGCUAAUGCGCGAAAGCGUGGGGAGCAAACAGG
This 253-nucleotide ribosomal RNA is filed under the name uncultured bacterium. RNAcentral describes it as "partial 16S ribosomal RNA". It matches the Rfam family "Bacterial small subunit ribosomal RNA", at positions 524 to 776 of the family's 1533-position model. The record is from RNAcentral.